AAACGUGGGCAAGCCCAACCAAAAGAAAUGCCAUAAGCCAAGAGGGGCUCAGCCCAAUAUAUCAGAAAGCUUUUUGUUUUUUUUGGGAAGGUACCAUAUCAGAAAGCUGUUGGAGAUGACCUUCGUGCAAAAUUAGGGCAUUGAAGUUGCAAUAAAGAGUUUUGGUUGAUAAUCUGCAGAGCUAGCCAGAGAAUGAGUGAACUAAACUGGUUUGAUCUUCACGGUUGAGGUCUAGCUGAGCAGGAGUGUCAAUGGACCUUAGCUUAAGGAUUUGCCUCAACAGAGCUGAAGGAAGGACCCAAUUUCCAUCUCUGACGAGCGCACUGACUUUGGCAAAUUGAGCUUCAGAGAUGGUAUGGAUGGAGAGAUUGUUAAUUCUGCAUGAAAUAGGACUCAAUGGCAUUCAAGCAUCAUACUAGAACAUGGUGGACUCUUCAUUGCCUAUAUGAUGUUUGAUAAAAGGCCUAGCAAUGGACCUUAGCUGCGGCUUUUUUCAUCCAAGUGCUAGAGGGAAUUUUGAGAGUGCCCAGGCACGGGAGAGUAUGACAAGUUCUUUGGUGAUGGAGUCUACAACUGUGCAGGAUGCAGUACUCCUCUCUACAGGUCCACGACUAAAUUUAACUCUGGAUGUGGAUGGCCAGCUUUCUAUGAGGGUCUCCCCGGAGCAAUAAAUCGCACCAAGAACCAGGAGUGUUAUUUUGCUCUGCAUCAACAUUCCUUCCACUGUUGAUAUCAACUUCAACUUCAUCUGUUGGUUGCUGAAUUAAUGAAUGCGGCUGCAACGUCUCUUGUCCAUCAUGUAAGACUCCAAGCCCAA
Long non-coding RNA from Cornus florida, 817 nucleotides. RefSeq lists it as uncharacterized. NCBI's taxonomy places the organism in Eukaryota, Viridiplantae, Streptophyta, Magnoliopsida, Cornales, Cornaceae. The transcript has 3 exons. The record is from RefSeq and is a predicted model, not a curated record.